GUUCCUCAAAUAUUACAAAAAUUUAAAAGAACUCUGAAAUUAAAUUGAAUUUAAAAAAACUUUAUUGUGACAAUAUUUUAUUCGUAAAUUAGACGCACAGCGAGAUUUACUGUAUCCUUUAGUGAAUUAUUUUAGUGUCAUUUCAACAUUCAGACAUUGAGUAUUGAAGAAUUGAUCACGGUUUUUCACCGAGGCGAGCCUUACAUUAAUUGCACGGGACUUGUAGAUUUCUAAAAGUUGAAAAAAUAAUCGCUUCAGACGCACUUUAUCGGCAUUACGUUCUUGGAAACAUAAUCCAUAAUCUAUACUCAACGUAACAUUGCACGUGGACUAGUACUCUACACUAUGACUCAA
Molecule: long non-coding RNA, 354 nt
Organism: Neodiprion virginianus
Lineage: Eukaryota; Metazoa; Arthropoda; Insecta; Hymenoptera; Diprionidae
Exons: 3
Source: RefSeq, a predicted model, not a curated record